AGAGGAAGAGAAUCUCUUGGGCUUCAGCUGUUUCCUGUGUUCUAUAUCUCCAGGGUUUUCCUUCAACUGUUGGGUGAGAUAUGUUUGUAGAUCAUCACCUCUGGAAAAGUAGAUGAUUAUCACCUCUUCUGGAAGGACUAGACCUUGAUCUUAAAGAGUCUUUAUAUAUACAGUCAUAGAAACGCAGAGAAGGACUUAUUUAGGUUGGCAAAGGCCUUCAGGAUCACCAAGUACAACCACCGACCUGAACUACUGAGUCCUGUCACUAGACCUUGUGCAGUGGGAGCUCUGAUGUCUGCUCCGUUUUAGACCCUGAAAAUAGUCAUCGGAAAACAGCAGGUUAUAAUAAAAAGGGAUUCUUUUUAAAUCACGAGGAAAUUAUAAUUAAUAAUAACUGGAAAUGCUAGAUGACUGAAGGGGAGAAAAUAUUCCGCAUUCUACUGGAAGAUAUACUCCCACUCCUGACCAUUGCUGCAAAAAAAAACAUGCCAAAUGGCAUAGAAGACAUGCGUUUUGCUAGGAUUUUCUCUUUAAAAUAUUUGGUUAAGUAGAAACGCUUGUGGGUGUUUAUGUCAGGAAAAAUGUAUAACUUGGAUAGCUGCACAACCUGAAUUUAAUUUCCUUGGCUUUGAAAAUUCCAUGCCAGAAAUAUUAAUUAUAUAAUAAUAUCAUAUAAAUGAGUGAAACAUUCCAUCAAAAACAUUUCUUCAACAGAAAUUUCAGAUAGAAGAGAAUUGCAACAUUUGUAUGCAUUAGAAGUUGUCUACCAUGGCUUUAUGAAGAAAGAGUUGAAAAUACAAGAAACUUGACACCAGAGUUCUUUUCUAAGCAAACAAUUUAAAAUGUAUUUCUUAAAGUAUUUCUUUACUAGUUGCUCAAGUUUACUCAUAUCUCUACUUACUUGCAGUUAUUCCUAUAUGUUUAAGUAAUGCUUCCAGAUUGCAUCCAUUUUAAACUUUCUCACUGUAAAUUCAAAAGUAAUUGUUUUCAGUCUAAUGGCAAACUUUUGAAACGGAAGAUUAUCUACAUUAUCUUCAGUAACAGUACUUUUGUCAUUAAUCUAUUUGUCAAACUACAUAAAAGUUUUUAUGUCGUUUAAAAAACAGCUUUUUAAAGCUUGAGAACUUUAUUUACUGAAGCUUUAGGAUAUGAUUCAAGCCUGAUGUGAUGCAGAGCCAUACUUUCUACUUGUCUAUAAGGGACCAGGGUUCACAAACCUAAACUCAAGUUUCCUAUUAGGCAGACAUACACUGUGAUAUUCCUGUUCCUAUCAUCUAGGAGUGAAACCCACUUACAAAUAAGUUGUUGAUUGUCUUAGUUUCACUUCCAAAUAACAAAAGAGCGAAGAGCUGAAGUCUGCUCUUUGGAUUUGGUUAGUCAGUAGACUAACCAAAAUUUAAGUACGUGUUAUAGUAUUGCAUGGGGAAAAAAAAAGUGCAAUAGUCUUUGUCAUUAAAUACCUCAUUAAAAGUCAUAUUUUCUGGUGGAUAGGAAAAUAAUUAAAAAAAAAAAUAAAAAAAAAGGAAUAAAUGAAGAAGUCAUGGUCACUGUAGAUUGGUUUACCAGAGUUAUUUGAAACAUGUUCAGAGAAAAUAGCGUUGCCAAAAGAGAAGCUGUUUUAUUGGCAAUAGUCUUAUGAUCUUACAUUGUUAGCAUCGCUCUACAGUACGGGUCUAUUUCAUCCAUUGUGCUUCACCAGAAAUCUGUCUGAUAAAGCAAUUAUCCAGAGAAAGUGAACUUCAUGUGCAGCUGCACUGUUUCAGUACAGAUAGAAACUUGCUGUACUCAGGUAAUUUCUGUCCUUAAUUCCAUCAUCUCCCACACAGGUUUUAGGAGACCACUCAGUCCAGUAAUGAUGUUUUGGCAUAAUAUGAUGAGUGGGGCCCUUACAGCAACAUUUUUGCAGUAUGUGUGUAAUGUGUUUUUUUCACAAUUUAAAAAUAACAGCAAAUGCUGAUAAUCUGUACCUCAUUUUUUUUAAUCACUAAUUUAUUUUACAAGUAUGAUUGCUGAAGCAUACAUAUGCAUAUUCAGUAUAAACAGAGAUAGUUGAAUGCAUCUGCCAAUAUACAUAUAUAUUAAUUGUUGUAAUAAUGUGGUAAAUUAGUAAAAAUUCGAUUUAAAAGAAAGAAAUAUACAAAAAUAUUUAAAAUGCUUGUGCCAGAACAAAAUGACCUGCCAAAAAAGCUUAGUCUCACAGCAAGUGAAAAGUAAAUUUCUUCUGAAUUUUGUGUUGUCACUGGAUCAAUAUUAAUGCUUGCUGACUAAAAAUUAUUUUUCCUAUCCUAAGUAAUGCCAUUACAACAAAAUUUUCUAUUGCAUUUGUAAAACAUUAAUAGCAAGUUGGUAAUUUUCCAAGCUUUUCUGAUCAUUUAUAAAAGAACAUAUGAUCAACCUUUGUACUGAACUAAUCAGAAAUUCAUAAUAUAAAUGAUUAGAUUUUAAUAAGUUCAUUCAACAAUCUAUUUCUGAAGUUUGUUACAGAUAAUCUGUUGCUAUAUUAAUGUAGCCUAGCAAUAAUUAACAUUCAGCUUUCUGGCACUAAUCACCGGAACCAUGGAUUCCUAGCAUUUAAGGCAGCCCUUAGAAAUAAUGCGAUAAAGCACUCAAGAGCGUUCAACCAAUUAAUGUGCUUGGAUGAGUGAGCUUUCCAAGCCAUUCAAUUUUAAAAGCAAGUGCCUCACAUCAUGGAAUUUUCUCCAUGUGGAAUUCCCUAGAAUUCUGUCCCACUAAAUGAUGGAGAAGAAAACUGUAAUCAGGAUGUGUUAAACUGAGAGGAUAUUCUGCUGAUCAAAGACAAUGGCUGCUGCUCCUAACAGUCAAAAUGUCUCAGAGAAAGAGUAUAGCUCUUGCUGUGAGUCUUUCUUUCUACGUGUUGAUUACCAUUAAGAUGCCAACAAAUGUAAUGUGUAGAUACUAUCAUUAGGCGGCAAGCCUUACUAAUCUUUGAGUGCUUUGUGAUGUGAAGGGACUUUCAAAACUUUAAUUAUACAAUUAUAUAUUACCUUUGUGUGAGGUGGAGUGGAAGAUGCUUAUGCUAUCUUGCUUUCCUUAUUUUUUCUUUAAGAGGGUCAGAAUUUCCUGAAAUGUCACGUUCUUCCAAAAAAUUACUGUAAAAUAUUCAUGUUUCGUUGAGAAAAAUAUCCAUAAGACUUAGGGAUAAAAAUGAAAUGUGACAAGAUGCAAAGAGGAAAGAAAAUUGCUGUUGGUUUCAUGCAGUAAAUACAUGAAUAUGUUUUUUCAGUGUCAGUUAAAUUUGCUCAAUUUUUUCUAUGAAAAUCUAUUUUUUCAAAAUCUUGAUGCUAAGCACAACCUCCAAAUGAUAAUAUUUCUAUACUAAAGCAGAUUUUACUGUCUGACUUUAUGACUGUCUCUACUGAUUUAUAAACUUGCUCUCUUUUAAACACUGACUGUAUUGAUAUAAAAUUAAGAAAAUAUUUUGCUAUGUAUUUAAAUUCUAGGAAGUGCAUAAUACUAAGUAGAAAGUCUAGAUUAAAAUGGUAUUUUUGAUUUUUUUUUUUAUAAGAUACUCAAAAUAAUUAAUCUAGAUUUAAAAUUUUCUUUUUUUUCUAACAUAUUUGAAAAUCAUUAAUCUGCACUUGUAUUACAGGACCAAUUUUUCCUAUUCCUGAUUAAAAGCGAAUGAAUAGUUUUAAUGUA
Long non-coding RNA from Lagopus muta (rock ptarmigan), 3660 nucleotides. RefSeq lists it as uncharacterized. The transcript is spliced from 4 exons. The record is from RefSeq and is a predicted model, not a curated record. NCBI's taxonomy places the organism in Eukaryota, Metazoa, Chordata, Aves, Galliformes, Phasianidae.